Molecule: long non-coding RNA, 219 nt
Organism: Mastomys coucha (southern multimammate mouse)
Lineage: Eukaryota; Metazoa; Chordata; Mammalia; Rodentia; Muridae
Exons: 2
Source: RefSeq, a predicted model, not a curated record
CUGUGGGCAGGAGAGCUGCAGAGGUCAUGGAGAGGUGCAUCUUGGGAAAUGCCAGAGUAAUUAAGAAGAGUAAAAUUAACUGAAAGGUGGACUUCAUGAUGCAGCUUCCAGGAGGUCAUCAUCUAUGAUGGUGUGGAACUUUGAAGGGAUGUAGCAACUUGAGGAUUGCCCAUGCUACUGCAAGUAAACCCAAUAAACCCACUGGUUUGGUUUACCACA